Molecule: non-coding RNA, 32258 nt
Organism: Rattus norvegicus (Norway rat)
Lineage: Eukaryota; Metazoa; Chordata; Mammalia; Rodentia; Muridae
Source: RefSeq, a predicted model, not a curated record
GCCAUGGAGAUAAAUAGGCGGCUGGCACAGUGCUCCUAACGGCACCUGGAACAUAGUAAAUACUGCAUAGGAACCUCCGCACACUGUUCUUCCUGGCUGCCCCACUGGUUCCUUCUCCUCUCCAGCUGGCUAUGGUGCUGGGGUUGCAGGUGGGUGACACUGUAUUUGGCUGUUCACUCAUUUCCACUCACUGCCCUGCCAACAAAACCUCUUCUGGUGAGAACAUGCGGAGUGUGGCUUUACUUCCAGGAUGCAGGAAGAAACACAUCCACCAGGAACUCAGAAUUGACAUCAUCUCAAGAAAUGAUGGUGCCAGGUGGUGGCUGCCUGUGAUUAUCUUUUCAGACAAUCAUUACUUUGUGCAAGUUGCAGUUGGCAAUGCUGCGCGUUCGCCACAGGUUCCUGCCUUGGGGUCCUUGUCUGUGAGGAGCUGUCCUCACAUACUCCAUUACAAGAUGGCACCGGCAUCCGGCAGAACGCACCUAGUAAAAAGGGCAAUACGCAGGCGCCUGGUAACUUCCCUACUCAAAGGGACACGUACGCUUUGGUACGUCAUCUGGCAUAAUUGGCAGCGACCAGUCAGAGAGUGACACGUCCUAGGUGAGGAUAGUUUCCUAUAUAAGGGACGGUUAUUCCUCACUUGGCGUCUCCGCAUUGUAAGCUUAUGCUCUCCCUCUCAAGACGCAUUAAAGCUUUUCUGCAGUAGGAUCCUGUGUGUGCCGCGUCGUUCCUGCUGGCGAGACGUAGCGCGGGGCACUUGUCCUGACUACCCUUCAUGAUGGACUGUUUUUCUCCUCAAGUCAUUUUUUUUUUUUUGGUCAGUUUUAUCAUAGCAGUAGGAAACCAAACUAAAACACUAGGUCUCCAACAAACUUCACGUAAUCCUUCCUUAGAAACUUUAACUUCGGAAUAAACAAACAAACAAGCUGGGAGCUAAGGUGGGCCAGGAAGUGGAUGCUACCCAGAAAGAAUAGCAAUAAGACAAGCUGGGUCUUGCAGGAAGUCUUAACCCUCUUCACCCUCCUAAACCCUUUCUCUCUUUUCUCAUGUUGGAAAGAUAUCACUCACCUAAGUGAAAUGCAUUGGGCUUGGAGCUUUGUAUGGUCAAAACAAAGCAAGGAGGUUGCUGACAUAGCUUAGCUGGUAGAAUGCUUGCAUAGCAUGAACAAAGGCCUGGGCUUGAUCUCCAGCACUGUACAAAGACCAGUGUGCUGCCCCACACAUUUCUCAUCCCAGACAUGCUCCUGUCUCCACCUCCUAUCUUACAGAAGUGCUGGUAUAGAUGUUUGCUAGCAUGUCUGGCUUUUUGUGGGUUCUGAGGAUCUGGACUCAAGCCCUCACACAUAUGCAGCAAAUACUUUACUCACAGAGCCAGCCCCUACCUUACCUAUUAUUAAGAAGAGGUGUUGCUUUGGUGGUCAAGUUAGUCUUGAACUCCUCGCUCAAGUGAUUCUUCUGCCUUAGAUGCACACCACCUUGCUGGUCAGAGCAAUGUGCACAUUUUGUCUUCCAGCUUUGGAUGGCCUUCCCAUCAUCUGCCCUGACGACAUCUACAGCACACAUCCACCCACAGUGUGGUCCUGCCUUUCAUCCUGAAGCCUUUCCACCUGAGAGCUUUUCGAAGUACUGUGUCCCAUGCUGUCACUUAGAAAGAACAUUUGCCAUCUCUUAAAACUCACUCAGAUGCCUGCCUAUUCCCUAUUCAGGCUCUACUCCCAUGUUACAUGUUUACACCGCUUAGGAUGUUCCCGGGCACUUUAAAGGCCAGAAAACAUACUUCCACCUGGAUUAGGUGCCAAUGGGAAUCCUGAUCUGCAUCAGUUGGUAAUGCGUCUCAUUUGUCCGGUGGCUCAGCUCUCCAUAGACAACUUUCUGAAGUUCACAGACAGAAAGCAGCUGUAGUAGAAUGCUGACCUCAUACUCUUAUGAACAGUGUCCAAGAACAUGGGACUAAAGUUUCUCCUCUCCAUACUGAGGAUGGAAUGCUAGGCAAAUGUCUACCACCGAGCUACAUACCUACUCCUCAAGGCCAGCAAACCUUAAGGCUCUCUUCAAGGCUUAUCAUAAGACCUUGUCUGGCUUCCCUCUGGACCUUGUUGGGCUGAGUUUAUUCAUUGCACAUCUGUAUUUGUGACUUGGGAGUUGUAAAGCAACUCACAAUUCCAGGACAGAGUACAUGGUGUUGGUGAAGUCAUGGAGACGGGUGCUUGAGGCCAUGGGUCACAUUGCAUUCAGAGUGGGAAGCAGGAGGUGGAGGAUGCUGGUGUUCAACUUCUCCUCUCAUUUCCAUUCAGUCUGGACCUGAAUGAACGUGAGUGGGAUGGUGCCACGAAAGGGCAGGUCCUCCCAGCUCAGCUGGCCCCUCACAGACAUCUCCACAGGUGCACCUUUUAGGUAACUAGUUGAAGGGUUAGUCCAAUCACUAUCACAAUACCCUUAACCCACCUUUGUCUCAAGAAUUGAAUACUCUGUUGAAGUAUGGUUGUCCAAGGUCUGGCUCUCUCUUUCUCCUCUCCUCUCCUCUCCUCUCCUCUCCUCUCCUCUCCUCUCCUCUCCUCUCCUCUCCUCUCCUCUCCUCUGUCUCCCUUCCAUCCCUUUCCUUCCUUUCUGUUUUUUGUCUCUGUCUUUCUUUUGUUUUUUUCCAGACAUGGUUUCUCUAUGCAGCCCUGAAGGUUCUGGAACUCACUUUGUAAACCAAGCUGACUCAGAGAUCUGCCUGCCUCUGCCGCUCAAGUGCUGGGAUUAAAGAGGUGCAUGGCUAUGGUCCGGAUUUCUUAAUUGGUUACUGACACAGACAAUGAACUAUUAUUGGGUUUGUGUCAGGUUCCAAAGUCCCUGCUUCCCUGUUGCUGAGGACCAAUGGUGAAAAGGAGGUAGAAAAGGUAUUGAAGAAACAGCAGCAUGCCCCUCACACUUUCUUCCUCAAAUUGUUAUUUGGAACAGCAUUGUUAUUUCAAGUAUAUGUAAAUGAACGUAUGACAAAGGUUCUAUCAGAUAGGAGAGAGAAAAGAUCUACUCAAGAAAGCUGGAUAGUCGAUGACAGCGUGGCUUCUUAGUGUACUGUAACUGGAGCAUGAGGUAAUAACCUAGAGAGUCUUUCCUGAACUUACUAAAAAGGUCACAGUCAAACGGUAAAAGAACGAGUUUGACUGCCACAUCUUGGUUUUGUUUUUGUGACAGGAUCUCACACUGUAGCAUAGGCUGGACUGGGACUCAUCACCUAUAUAAGCCAGCAUCAAACUCUCAGUAAUCCUCCUGCCUCAGCCUCUGAAAUGUUGAGAUAACAGGCAAGAGCCACCACAUGGCAUGGGCCAACAGGCACGCGUUGACUCCAUCUUUCAUUUAUUCUAAUAAUGCCAACCAUAUUCUUGGAGGUAGAGGUAAGAUGGUAAAUUGAGGCACAGGUGACCUCUUACAUCAAGCAAGGUAGUACAGGCACUAAACAGAUAAUUAGGGCUGGCGUACAUCUCAGUGAGAGAGAGAUGGCACGCACGGGACUCAAGCCAGAUCUCUAUCAAACUGAAGCUCAACGCAAGCCCCUCCUCAGCAGCACUAACCAAAAAACCCCCAAAUAAUGACAAGGUAACCAAGGGGACCGGAAGGGUGGCUCACGUGGUAAUGUGUUUGCUAUGCAAGCAUGAGGAACUGAGUUUGAUUCCCAGAAGCCAUAUAAAAAAUGCUGGCUGGCGUGACCCACGGCUGUAAUCUUAGGCUGGGGAGGUGGAGACAGGCAGAUUCCAGCCUGACCUAAUUGGUGAGCUCCAGACUAAGAAGACUCUCGAAGGAGGUAGAUCGAGUUCCUGAAAAUGACACCCAAGGUUGUUUAUUGGCCUCCACACAUACAUGCAUGUGUGAGCAUACCUCCCCAACACACACACACACACACACACAUUAAAAUAUAAAUGAAAAAAGUUAAUCACACAGAUGCUCCAAUCUUUGCUGAGGGUCUGCUACUCACCAUCCUCUAGUUCUUUAGGAAAUCCCUUCUCCACACUAGCAGGAGGUCCUGAGGCAGUGGAAGCCCACGGCACAGUUGAAAGCACCACAGUAGGACAGGAGGCGAAGUUUACUUAUCUUUUGUUUGUUUGUUUGUUUGUUUGUUUGUUUAGGGACAGGAUUUCUUUGUGUAGUCCUGGCUGUCCUGGAACUCACUCUGUAGACCAGGCUGUCCUCAAACUUAGAGAUCCACCUGCCUCUGCCUCCUGAGUGCUUGAAUUAAAGGCUUACUCCACCACCACCCAGGAUGCCAAGGUAAGAAGGCAAUCUCUGGCAGACAAGAUAAGUAGCUUGCUACAAGGCACACAACUAGGGUGUUGGUGUGGGGACAUCCUCUUGGAGACGGUGAGGAGGAAUGGAAUGAGGAAUAGUCGGAAGGUGAACUGGGAGGGGGAUAAUGACUGGACUGUAAAAUAUAAAAAGUUAAAUUAUAACAACAACAACAACACAGAGGUGGUCCAUGGAAAACUAAGAACUGAGCCUACUCAUGGCAAAACGAAGACUCUUAGUCACAGUGGUGUAUGUCACCCCUCCCAUAAGAAUCCCAUUGUUGUCCCCAUUUUAUAGAUGAGAAGACCGAGGCUCAGGGCAGAAUUUGUUUAAGGUUACUGAGUCUAGGAGCUAAAUCAGAAUGUGGGUAGAUCUAAGUGACUUUGCUGUUCACUACAGUCCCACACCACCUCUGCAGGGGCCUGUGUCAAGGCCUCAGCCAUUCUGCAGUGUCUAGUCAUUUACCCAUGUCUCUCCGUUCACUAACGCUACAAGCUGCUUAAGAGAAAAAGACCAGGCUAUUCGGCUCUGUUUCUCUGGCCCCAGAAUAGUUUUGGCGUUUAAUCCACUAUGCAAAUGUUUGCUGAAUGAACUAAAUAACCGAUAACUGGAGGAAGGAUUGCUAGGGAAGUUUCCAGACCCAGGAUAUGGCCUCGGAGAUUGUGCCUGAAUCUGUCUUCAGCCUCAGUAACAAAGCCCUCCAAAAGGAAGAAAGAAAGAAAAUGGGGCGUAGCAAGGAUUCCAGACUGGAUUCCAUGACGUCACCCGAAGUUGGAUGUCUGCACUCGUAAACAAAGGCUCUUGUGACAUGGCCCCUGGCCAGGCUAGCCACUCAGCUCUUGUGGGGGAGGUGGUUGAAGAGAGCAGCCCCCAUGUUGGCCUCUACCCUGUAUUCAGCCUCUGGAUUUAGCAGGUAACUCCUCCAAGGGAAAACCAGGACAGGAAAUCAUGUUGCCAUGGAGACCAGAGAGGCCUUUCCAGACAGAGGGGAAAAUAAACACACUGCGCUUGGACUUAACCCCCACCAAGCCACGGUGGCCUCAUCUCCUAGCCAGUGAGGCCCCGGUUUUCUCUAGAAACUUCUAGUGGCCUCUCCUCCAAGUACUCUUAACAUCAAGGGCUGAGUGAAUGGGUUACUUGACCUAAGCAGUGUCCCUGGGGGAACAUAAGCCUGGGGAAAGAGGAGGAAGCCAUUUUGUACUUCACCUUCAAGCCUCCUCAGACUCUCAGAACUGGCAACUAGACUCUGACAAUGACUAAACAUUUAUGUUGUGUCUGUUGUAUGCCAAGUUCUACCUGCUUUAGAUUUAUUGAACUCAUUCAGUUGUCAUGGCAAUCAUUACUUUGAUACUUUUCCUAGCCAGGAAACAGACACCCAGAGACUGGGAGGCUCUCCCAAGGUCAUCUGAAAGUUGGGAGUGGCACCAGAAUUAAGGAUACUUUGCAGUGUUAGGACUACAGAUUUAUUGUAUAGUGUGACCGCUAUUGUUUGAUGAGUCACUACCUUGAAUGAUUAUUAUGGGGUUAAAUUCAAUGUGCAGUUAUUGAGCACCUACUGUAUAGUAGGUACUGUAUUGAGCAUGGAAAGAAUAGCAAGAAAGAGAGAAAGAUGAUACCAGGGCACAAAGCUUCCAGGACAGAAGGAAGGGAUCUUUCUUUUUAGUCCCAAGUGGGAACAGGUUGACUCCUUGAAAGAAGUGAAGAGAAGCCAGAGGAGCUGAGGAAACAAAGGGAACAAGGGAGAUUAAUUUCUAACUGAGGGCUGGAGAGAUGGCUCAGUGGUUAAGAACACUGACUGCUCUUCCCGAGGUUCUGAGUUCAAUUCCCAGCAACCACAAGGUGGCUCACAACCAUUUGUAACGGUUCUGAUGCCCUCUUCUGGUGUGUCUGAAGAGAGCAACAGUGUACUCACAAACAUAAAAUAAAUAUAUAAAUAAAUAAACCUUUAAAAAUUUUUUUUCUUUUCUUUUUUUUUUUUUGGAGAUGGGGACUGAACCCAGGGUCUUGUGCUUGCUAGGCAAGCGCUCUCCCACUGAGCUAAAUCCCCAACCCCCUUUAAAAAUUUUUAAUUGAAGAAGUGGGGUUUGUUCCCAUAUCAGACUCAGACUGAGCACUGAAGAAUCCUGCGCUCUGCCAGGAUGCCUGCCAUGGACCAGGGCAAGGCCUUUCAGGCUGAAUGCCGAAAGGUGCCCACCGGGGGUGUCUGCCUUUUUAAAUUUAUUAUUUUUAGGUUGAUAUAUAAAGCAGUGGGUCUCCUUGUGGCAUCUCCAUCCAUACACGUAGUUCUUUGUCCUCAUCUGUUCCCCACCCCCACCUCCCUCUCCUGUGCUCCGUCACUGCCAGCCACCACUGUCUUUCUUCUCUGGAGAACUGUCUCAGUUAAACCCUAUUGCAUGCUUUCCUAGUACUCGCAUGUUUUAGUUUGCUUCCUAUUGCUAUGGUGGAACACUCCUACCAAAAGGCACCUGGAGAGGAAAAGGGUUUACUUGCUUUACACAUCCCGAUCACAGUCCAGCGCAGGAACCUGGAGGCAGGAGCUGAAGCAGAGGCCAUGGAGGGAUGCUGCUUCCUGGCUUGUCCCCCAGGGUUUGCUGAGCCUGCUUUCUUAUGCAACUCAGGACCACCUGCCCAGGGCUGGCAGGUGCUGCCUGGGGUGAGCUGGGGUCAUCCCCCCAUCCAUCAUUAAUCAAGAAAAUGUACCACAGGUUUGCCUACAGCCCACUCUGAUGGGAGCAUGUUCUCAAUAAAAGGUCGCUCUCCCUAGAUGCCUCUAGGUUGUGUCAAGCUGACACAACCAAACCAGCACGGUGUAUCCCACUACUCUCUCCAGGACCAACUUCCCUAAAGAUGUCUUCCUGCAAAGCCAAACAGACAUAUAUGAUUUCAAAUCCAAGACCCACACACUAGAGAUGUGGUUCUUCUUUCACUGUCGAGUUUAUUUCACCUAAUGAGCUCCAGUCCCACUCAUUGUCCCGCAAAUGCAUGUUUUUCUCUCUUCUUUAUGGCUGAAUAAAGCUCCACUGUGCAAAUACACCGCAUUUUCUUUAUCCACGUAUCUGAUGACAGACACCUAAGCUGGUUCCAUUUCCUGGUGGUUGUGGAUAAUGGCCCAAGAGGUUUCAGCAGAGAGGUGGAGAACAAGUGACUCUCACACUGAACUUUACCUGAGCUGCUACCUCACUUGGCAUAAAGGCUGCAGGUGGGUGGGGCCAGGAAAUUCCACCACUUGAUAGUGUUUGAGCUGGACACACAGACUCCUUGACCUCUGCUGUGCAGCAGUUUCCUCUAUGAUUAAAACCUUCCAUCUAAGGGGGAAGCUCUCGGGAUGUUGUUAGAAGGCGGCGAAACAACAGGAUGCUGUAAGGAGGUGGUUCUCAAAACCUUCCUGACACUACGGCCCUUUAAUACAGUUCUGCAUGUUGUGGUGGAUCCCCAACCGUGAAAUUAUUUUCAUUGCUAUCUCAUAACUGUAAUCACGUAUGGAAGCAAGACAUAACUUUGCUACUGUUACAGAUCAUAAUGUAAAUAUCUGAUAGGCAGGCUAUCUGAAAUGCGACCUGUGAAACCCCUGUGAAAGGGAUAUUUGACCUCCAAAGGAGUCAAGACCCACAGGUUGAGAACUACUGCUCUACGAGGCUAUGGAGCUCUCCAUCCUGCAAGGAAGCUCUGAAGAUCGGGAGUAAACGACUCAAAAUAGCUUCAGGAAGUCCCUGAGACUGACCAGAUUCCCUAAUGCCUUCCCCUCUCGGGCCCCUAGCUUAUAUAAAUUCUUAUGUAAGAACUGUAGAGAGAUACUCAAGGGCAACCAAACUUCCAGAAGAGGCUCAUAUAUUUAAAUACUUGAUCAUCAGGGAGUGGCACUACUUGAAAGGGAUUAGGAGGUGUGGCCUUGUUGGAGGAAGUGUGUCACUGGGGUAGACUUUGGGGUUUCAAAAUCCUCAGCCAGUCCCAGCAGUUCUCUCUUCCUCCUGCUUGUGGAUCCAGAUGUAGAACUCCCAGCUACAUCUUAAGCACUAUGACAGCCUGUGUGUCAUCAUGCUCCCUGACACAAAGGACUAAACUCUCUGAAACUGUGAGCAAGCCCCAGUUAAAUGCUUUCUUUUAUAAGGGUUGCCUUGGUCAUGGUGUCUCUUCACAGCAAUAGACAGUAACCGUGACAUUCUCCAAGCUCUAAGAUGCCUCUGCUACGUACAUGGCCUUCCGUACCAUAGUCUGCACCUCAGUCUGUUAGAGAGGCUCCUGCUCCUCUCGGCUUCUCCAGCUCCACCUGGCUAUAAGAGCCCACUGUUCUUAGCCUCGGAUCCUCUUGAGUUUCUUUCACUUUAUCCUCUCUGUGGAAAAUUUCCUUCCAUGUAGUGCUCCUUAUGUGACCAAAUUAAAGCCUGCCUCCUCUGUCCUGCCGGAGUCUCACUGAAACACUUCCCACCGAAAUUCAUUAGCCAAGCCCAUCUGGGAGACUCCAUGGGUUCUGCCCAGCUCCCUCAAACUAGAGCACCCCAGUUCCUUUCCACAGCAUCUAUAGGUGAAUGUGUCAUCAAAACAUGUCACUGUCCUAUUCCCUAGAGAUGGACAGAGGUCCUUUCACAUGUUGAUGGGUAAAGCACAGUAGAGCACAGGUUAAACACACAGGGAUUUGGCAAUGUAUUUCAAAAGCUGGGUCCCUUUGACCCAGUAACUUAAUCUUUAGGGAUUCAUCUCAAGGAUAAUAACCCUAUUGGUGGGUGCUGGGAUGACAGUAUGUAUCUAACAGUGGUUGGCUAGUUAAAGUAAUUCAACCAUGGACCUGGAGAGAUGAAUCAGUGUGUAAGGGCACUUGUUGUUUUUGAAGAGUACCCAAGAUCAGUUCCCAGUUCAGAACCCAAGGUGCACAACCAUCUGUUACUCCAGGACCAGGGAAUUCAACACCCUCUUUUGACCAAGUAUUCAUAUAGUACAUAUGUAUACAUACAAGCAAAAGAGUUAUACACCCAUAAAAUAAAGUGAAUAAAUCUAACCAAAAUUUAAUUGAAUCAUUUUAAGGGCUGAGUGGGACGGGGUUGGCAUUCAAAAGAGUCCUAACCCCGACUAGACAAACGCUCUACUGGUAAGCAACAUCUCAGUGUGUGUGUGUGUGUGUGUGUGUGUGUGUGUGUGUGUGUGUGUGUGUCUGUGUGUAUGCCUAUUUAUGUCUAUGUACAUGUCAUGGCAGGGGUGUAGAGGUUGGAGGACUUUUAGAAGUCUGUUCUCUCCUUCUACCUUGUGGGUCCUAAGGACAGAACUUAAAUCCUUAGGGUUGGUGACAUGCACCUUUAUCCACUGAGCCAUCUCUCUUGUCCCACGACUUGAGUGUUGCAAGCUUUCUAAGCUCCAAAGAUAGAGCCGUACUUCCAUCUAACAGCUGGAUUACUGAAAACAGCUGGACUACUGAUAGCCAAAAAGGUAACAGUGUGCAAGCCUAAAAUCCCACACUUCCGGGGCUGGGCGGGAGAAUCCUAAGUUUGAGGUCAUCCUUGGCUACAAGGACUUCCAGGCUAGUCUGGACUUCUUAGUGAGAUUCUGUUCUGAGACAAGGAAGUUGGGGGUGGGAGGACACAUUAAAUAUUUACGUAUUUGUACCAAUAGAAGAUGUCCUAUCUCAUUAAUAGAAGAAAGUUGCAGAUUCCAGAACAGGAAGUUUAAAAAUCCAUUUAUCUUCCCAGGCUCUGGGGAUCAAAACCUAGCUUCAGUAAGCUACACAAGGGCAAUGGCACAGCAUGAGCUUAGGGUGUACGAUGUGUGCAGAGCUCUGGAUCUGAUCCCUAGCACACAAACCAAAACAAACUCCAUUGUCCUGAAGACCCUUUCAUAGAAGUGGUGACUCCUAAGUGUCUUCCAGUAUUUCGUUGUGUGCAUCUGCCACAGUUUGCCAGGGAGUAUCAGAAAGCUCAGCUUUUACAGCAGUAAACUGUAUAUUAUGUCAUACUACACACAAUUGCUAUACAGUGAUCCAUUGCUAUAUAACAAAUUAUCCAGAAUUCAAUAGCUUAAGACAUAAAAUGUGUGUCAUUCCACCUUCUCCCCAGGUUGCAGCCAGGUGUGGCUCAGGCCUGUGGUCUCACAUCCUAGCUUGGAUCAGGGAGAUUUUCCUCCAGCCUAACUCCCAAUCUUUGGCAGACCUCCUUUCAGGUUGCCAGUUGCAGGUUCUUCCUCUGUUCCUUGACACAUGGGUCUCUCCAUAGGUUACAGAGGAACAAGAGGGGUUGCCUCAAAGAGAGCCAGGAUGAAAGCAGAGUGUUAUCACCAAAUGGGGACACGGAAUCUCAUCAUUUGGGCCAAUUCUGUUAAUGAGAGGAGGUGGCUCACUCUCUCCUACAUUCAAGGGGCAGAGACUUUAUAAAGAGCAUGAAUAACAAAGUAAUUACUACAUGAGACAUGCCCAGGGCGAUGGUGUACCCUUGGAGCACACCUUUAAUUCCAGCAUUCAAGAGUCUGAAGCAGGUGGAUCUCUGAGUUGGAGGCCACUCCAGUAUACAAAGUGACUUCCAGGCCAGUCAGGCUAUUUAGAGAGACCCUGUUUCAGGAAAAAGAAAAUAGUCAAGGACCAAAGUUAAGCACGAAGUGCAGAAAGUGGGUCUGAAUAGUGAGUGUGAAGGGGACAGUGGAAGAGGUGCCGUCAGUCCAACCCAGGAGCUGAUAGAUGAGGUACUUAUUAAUUCAACAAAUAUGUGUGGAGUACCUGCUGGCCACCCUGGCAUCACGUUUAUACAUUAGCAAUAAAACUGUAAACAGAACAGAAAAGUCUCAGCCGUAUAGCAGAGAGGAGCCGAGGCCACGAAAGAGCUAAAAGCACAAAAGCAAAGCAGAGGCCUCAUAGUUCACAGGUGAUUUACAGGAAGACUCCUCAGAGUCUGUGACUGACUGGACUUUAGUGAGUUAGGGUAAAGGAACACUUGAAGGUCAAACUCCCAAGCUCAAGGUUGGGCAGCUGGUGGAUUCUGGUGUUUUUCUUGUCAGGAAGGAAGUUGGAAGGAGAAUGGACCUAGUGAAAGCUAAUAAGCCUAUGUUGAAUUUAAGGACUCUACAUGGGCUCAGGCCCACCAUCCUAGCUACUUAGGAGGCAGUGGGAAAAGAAUCAGAAGUGUAAAGACCUCCCUGACCUGCAGAGAGAGUUUAAGACCAGCCUGGACAGCUUAGUGAGAACCUAACUUUAAAAAGAACCAACCAACCAAACAAACAAAAAACAAGAAACAAACAAACCCCACAAACAAGAAGAAAAAAAACCCCUAAGAAACAACAAAGCAAGACCUAGGGCUGGGCAUAGUAUCAUAUACCUUUAAUCCUAGCACUCAGAAGGCAGAGACAGGCAGAUCUCUGUUGAGUUCAAGUCCAGCCAGGUCUACAUAGUGAGUUCUAAGCCAUCCAGGCUAUGUAGUAAGACCUUGUCUCAAUAAGCAAACAAACAAAACAUGAAUAAACCGUUUGUUUAAAGGUCUGGAAUUGUGGCUCACUGGUACAGUGCUUGCAUGUAUGUGCAAGGUACUGGGUUCCAUUCUCAGGAAGGAAAUAACAAUUUAAAGAAUCAAUGGAGUACCAGGUGAUAGUCAGGAGCUGAGUGGACAGUAAUGGAGGACCUUGGAACUGAUGUCACCUCACAGUAAGAAGUCAGUGAAAUUUUUAAAGCUAUCCCGGUGAAUGCAGAAAAGAGAAGAAGGCUUGCAGAACUCAGAAGCUAGGAAUCUAUAAGAGUUGGGAAGGAGGAAAGAGACCAAGGAGGAUGCAGAGUCUGGAAGGGUGUCAUGGAUUCUGUGAAGAGACCUGGCAGAGAGAAUAAUGACUGAGUAAAUUAACAAAAACCCUCAGGAGCCGGGGUGUGUCUCCACCCGUACAGAAAGGAAGUCACUGCCUGCUGAGAGGAGCUGUAGAGAGGGGAGUGAGAAGAUGAAAGUAGAACCAUCCGAAGCCGAGGAUAGAGAGAGCGAGUGUGGAGCACUGUGGAGUGUUUACAUCCUGUGGACACAUGCCCAGGAUGGGAGGCAUUAUCUAAAUGAAAUGUGCUUCCGGGAAGCGGCUACGUCUGAAAGGCUGGCAGCCUUUCCUCUUUGAUUUGCUCCUAAUGCGUUGUUCCAUUAGGCCAGGUGAUCCGGCGAGAAACGCUGAGGGUGGCCUGUCCUCCUGGGCUCUGGGACCGGAAGGAGCAGAAUGUCCAGUGGACGGUGAAACAGUGGAGCACAAACAACAGAUAGUAGGAGUUCCCAGAGCUAAUGGUCAGAAGCCCAUAGGACCCUCCUCCUCUCCCUCCUCCUCCCCCUCUCCCUCCUCCUCCCCCUCUCCCUCCUCCUCUCCCUCCUCCUCACCCUCCUCUGCGUGUGUGAAAAGCAGAGGCUGAAUCCACCUUGUUUCCUUGGUGAUUUUAAACUUUUAGUUAAAACAUAAUUAUAGCACGGACCCCUUCUCUGUCCUCCCUCCGAUCUCUCCCUUCCCGCCUUGCUUUCCCAAGCUCAUGUCCUCUUUUUAUUAUUGCUACACAUGCACGAAUACAUGAAUGCAACCUGUUGAAUCUGUUAAAUGUUGCUUCUGUGUAUAUGGUUUCAGGGCUGACCACAUGAUAUUGUAUAACCAAUUAGGGGAUGUGUCCCUGAGGAGGACGAAUUCCCCUCUCAGCCAUUAGCUCCUGGGCCUCGCGGGGCUUCCUCUUCCACUUUAGCUCGUCUAUUAUUGUUUUCAAUGCUCCGGCCUUGCUUAGGCAGCCACAAUGAUGUGGUGUCACGAGUGAGCGUAGCUUCCCCAUCAUUUCUAAUAGACACAAUCCCACGACAGACUUCACGGUCUUUGACUCUUACUAUCUUUCUGUCUCCUCUUCUGAGAGGUUCCCUGGGCCUUAGGUGAAGAGAGUGUACUGUAGAUGUGUCCUUUGGGGUUGCCACCGCUCACUCAAUUGCUCUCUGCAUCUUGAACAUCUGUGGCUUUCUGUGAUGAUCUCUGCUGAAAAGUGAAGUUUCUUGGAUGCAGAACCAUCUCUCUGUACACUUCUGUCCAUUCUAGUAUAUAUAUUGUGCGUGUGUCUGAGUGUGUCCGUGUAUGUCCAUGUGUGUCUGCCUGCAGACUUGCUGUUUCUUCGCUCCCUUUUUCCUCUUGGAGACUCAGAAAACUGCAUGGAGUCAGUAGUGUCGGGGAGGAUACUGGGUCGUGUUAGCUUCCCUUCCAUUACCGUUCUUGUGACUCUGUAUGAGGAAACUGUUUUUCACAUGCUUGUACAGACUUAAGUCUUAUGCACAUGCAGGGUGGGGUGGGUAUUUUAAGAGAAUAAAUAACGCUUGCAAGAGUUGGUUUAUGAAGUCUCACCAUCCGUAGCAAUCAACACUCUGAGGACUUUAUCUGCGUUUCUGUGUGAUUCUGUUGCAGUAGUUGGGGGAGGGUUUCACUUCCACCUGAAAUCCAUGCUCUGUCACUCUCCAAGCCCCCCUUUUAAAUAUUUAUUUAUUCUAUGUAUAUGAACAUGCUUUUGCUGACACACAAGGAGAGGGUCUUAGAUCCAAUCACUGAUGACUGUGAGCCUCCGUUGCUGGGAAUUGAACUCGGGUCCUCUAGAAGAGCAGCUAAUGCUCCUAACUACUCAGCCAUCUUUCCAGCCCUCCAAGACCCUUUCUAAGGAGCUCUGAGGUUACUAUUAUCAUUUAAUACUACAUUUAUGGAUUUGUUCAUUUAUUUUAUUCUUCAGUGCCAAGCAAUUAGACCCAGGGCCUUAGGCUCUUUAAGCAUGUGCUCCGUAGCCAGGCAACACUGUGCUCAGCCCCACGAAUGGCGGUUUGAAUCCUAAGUUGGAAAUAAAAAGUAGACAUUUACAGACAUCAGACUUGAAGUGGUCUUCUAUGGGUAUUUAUAAAAGCCCUGAUAUCAGGGCUUCGGGAGCUUAACACGAAUUUGCUGCCUGCUCCUCCCCCACCUCCCCUUUGGCUACUGCUACCACCAGAGGCUCCUCUCAGCACAGAACAGGCACCCCUGGGUGAGUGCAGACCUCUCUCUGGGAAGAGCUUUGAAGCCAGAUGACUGAGGUGUGAGUUCAUUCUGAAACACCAGCUGCGCGACCUUGAGCGUGGCAUGCCACUAAACCUGUUUUUUUCUAGCUUCUCUUCCUCACUCUCUUUUUAAGAGCAUGCAGAGAGCUGAGAGAAAAAUGCUGCAACAGCCUAUACGAUGAUAGAGUAUUGAUUACCUGCUGAUGAACUCACCAUUCAGGGGUAUCCAGCCUUUUCAUAUUUAUUUGUAUUAUUUGUGUGCGUGCGUGUGUAAAUGUGUGUGUGACAGUGCCGUAGAGUUAGUUUUCUCUUUUUUUGUUUGAGGAACAGACAGAAGUCAGCAGGCUGAGCAACACUGAGCCGUCUGACUGGCUCCACAUCCAAACUUUUGAUAUUGAAAUAUACUAUUAUCUGUGAUGUGUUUAUAAAAAGAUAAAGAGAGGAUAUGCCCCGGGUUUCAGCACCAAUGUUGUGUUACAGAAAGAUAAGGAGAGGCGGGAUUAUGUUCUAUGGAGGUCUGGGCGAAGGGGGUGCCUCAGUAGGUCCAUGCUGGGGCAUCCCUUCCCCCGAGGGACCAGCCACUCGACGAUAUAGUAUAGAGUUUGUUCAGGGCAUGGGGAGGGCAGUUAAGAGGGUAGUAGGGCAGAGAAAGAGAGGAGCAGAGGAGUAGAGUAGAAGGCGGUCAUGAGCACAUGGAGAGAAGGGGAGGGGAAUGGGGAGAGAAGGGACAAAGGAGCAAGAGAGAACAAGAGGAAGCAGAAGCAAAAGCAAGAGGGUGAGGAGGGGGCAAGCAGCCCCUUUCAUAGUGUCAGGCGUACCUGGUUGUUGCCAGGUAACUGUGGGGGUGGAGCUUAGAAUGCUAACAAUCCGGGACACAGGCUAGUUAUUCUGGGAUUCAUGGUCCCACCUCCACCAGCCCUCCACCACGAUCCAUCAUUUCAACCUUCCUAGAUUCAUCCAUUGUCAAUAUUUUGCUCUACUGGCUAUACAAGACAUAUGUGCCUGUAUUUGUCUGCAAUAAACCAUCAUAUAUGCAAGUAAUUUAAAGCCUCAGUGUAUCUUUCCUAGAUAUUCUGACCUGUAUCACCUAGGAAUAAUAUUCUCCUACAUAAGUGCAAUGCCAGAAUCACACUCAAAGAGAGGUCCGGAUGACUUCCUGAUGCUAUCUCACUAUGGAGCUCUUCCUCUAACUUCACCAAGUAUCCCUCGUUUCUUUUAUGGCUGUUUCAGUCCUUCUACUAAGGCGCCAGUCUGGUAACGUAAACCAAGUUUAUAUCGCUUAACAUUUUUUUCUUCCUGCAUUUUGUGUGCCCAUUAGUAAAUAACACUAGAUUUGGAAGACUCUAGGGGAAUCUUCUUGUAGAGCGUGUAGUUUCGAGGGCUUAUCUGAUUCCUUGCUAGGGAGGGAGAGCUAACUUUUUCCGGCCUUGUUUCCUUUCUGGAAAAUGAACAGAGUAGCUCCGUGAAGUUUCUACAUGCGCAGUCAGUGUGAGGACUCCACACCAUAACGCUUGGAAAGUGCUCGGUACAGUUCCCGGAACACAGCUUCCGUAAACGUCGCUGUUGUCACCAUAACAACCAGCUCUCUUUGGCUGUGAUUGCCACCGCCAUCUUUAUUUAGUCCCUUAAACUCCAAGGCAUAGUGACGCGCGGACUUUUUGAUUACUUCCUCGACCUUCUCGGAUAUCUUACACGCGAUCUUGCCCCUUCCCCCGCGAACUUAAUUAGCGACUCUCAGCCAGAUGAAUAACUCUCUUAACCCCUCCAAGAACUAAGAGUUUAGCCUUCCUCGUCCUCCUAAGGAUAGCUUCCUUUUCCAGAACCAUAAGGUUAUAACUUCCAAACGGCUCAGACAACAUCGAAGCAUCAGCUGAUGCCAUGCCCACCCAGGGAGGAAGAGGAUGCUUCGUCAUUGCUGGUGCUGCGGUGACCUUGGUGCUGGGGCUGUCUGCACACAGCUGCUGCAGUGCUGUUGAAGGGAUGCUGGGGAAAGGAGAUUGGCUGGCGAGGAAAGUGAGGAAUGUACUGCCAGAACUCUGGGCUCCCAGCCAGAUGCUAAUUAUGAUGGCCUGGGGGUGCCAUGGGCCCCUGUCAGCCCAUGGAAGGAAGUGUGGGGGCUGGUGGGAGUGGGAGAGGUGAGGGAAACAGGAAAGGUGACAGGGUCUGACAGGUUGGAGAAAUACACUUAUUCCCCCAGGGUCCACCCUCCCUGCAGACCCAAGCUGUCUGGGAGAAAUUGUGGCCGUCACCAUGGCAACAGCAGCAGCUGAUGUGUGAUGCGCAGUGUCUUUAUUAGAGAACCCUGCUCAACCUUGGGCCAGCACUUUUCCAUCUGAAUCUUGUUUCUUCAGUGUACAGGACUUCAGAUGGCACUGGUGGGGCUGGGGGCUGGUGUUUGGAGAUGAAGCGGAGACGGGGUUGUUCUCUGCUGUUUUAUUAAAUUUCUGGGGAAUGCAGAUAGAUGGGAAUGCAGAUAAGAUGGCAGAGAAGCAGAUUUGUACAUGGCUGAAACAUCAUUUAAAUAUUCAAGCUGCCUCAGAAUCCCCUUCGGGUACACACAGACUGCUGAAGCAGCACUCCUGUCUCCACACUCAGGAGACCCCUGUGGGAGGGGUAGUCUGGGAUACUGUGGACCUGGCAGUUGAGGUGAACGCUAAGUAUCCUAGCUCUGAAGGCUUCCACCUGGGCAAUGCUGGCUUUCCCGUUGCUCCCUCAUUAAACCUCAACGUACUCAUCUGUAAAAUGUGGACACUAGAGAACGUUAGCUGCCUCAGGUGAGAGUUGAAUGCGCUCAGGGAUGAGGGUGCUGUGAAACCUUAUACUGGUCCUCCAUUAGGGGCUCAGUCCUCUUGCCUCAGCUCUUCCCGUUAGCUGCUCCUGUAGCUGGGGCUGCUACUGUGAUCCCACAACUACAACUAGCACUCCAGUGCCGCCUCCUUUGCUGCCACUGCGGAGAAUGACACUCUCUGGCAGAGCAUGACUAUGAGUCACUGGUAACUAGUCCUUCCCCACAGAGGACAGCAGAGUGUCUGAACCUAACAGCACUUCAUCGAGAAGCUGGGGUACCAGACGGGAGAAAUGGAUAUGAAACUCACACGGAUGAUGUCUCCUGUGGCCGACUUCAAACUGCUGGGGAAUCUAAUGGGAAGGAGGUUAACUAUUUACUGGUUAUUUACUCAGAGACAGGUUCUUUCUAUGCAGUCCAGGCUAGCCUUAAACUCAUGGUCCUCCUGCUUCAACCUCCCAAGGGCUGGUUUACAGGCAGGAGGCACCAAGCCCAGCCGUCUACUAUUAUUUCUGAGACAGGGUCUUAGGCAGGCCACGCUGGCCUUGAACUCAAUAUGUAGCCAAGCAUGGACUUUGGAUCCUCCUGUCUCCACUUCCUAAGUGCUGGGAUUACAGACACAGGCCACCUCACCUGAUGAAUUUGGUGCUGGGGACUGGACCCAGGGCUUUGUGCAUCCUACUCAAGCACUGUACAACUGGGUUUUCUGCUCUGAAUGUUUUUUCCAGAAUGGUUCUGAAGAAAACAUUUAGUACCAUGAAAAAUGGAAAGCUAGUAGCAGGGCCCUGAGAGAAAACACGGAAACAAAAACAACGAAAAACUUCGGGAUCAUUGAUGUCUGGCUGAUACUCUCCUCAUAGAGAAAUUUUGGAGACUGCUAUAAAUGGAAGCUGGCAAGUAGUAGAGAAGGUGUGAAAAACAAACUGUAAACUUCUCCACUAAUCAGGACUAAAAUGUGUGGAGAGGGAUUACAGCUUACCAAGGCACUUAGUGCUUGCUGUCUAGUCUCCAGGGGUGUCUCUACCCAAAGUUGCCACUGGCCUGAAGAGCAAAGAAUGACCUCUCCUUGGGGGGAAGGGAGUGAGAAGUGGGACCCAGAGCCCACUGCACCUUAGUGCAUCCGACUGUAGUCAUGGAGACGGAUGAGGGGGUGUUCCAAGGGAAAGGCACAGAGGCAGUGAAGACUUCAUAAGGCUCCCCUCAGGCCAUUCCACCCACUGUGGAGUCAGAGAACCCGGGGAGGAAGAUGAGUCACAGAGGCCUUAUUAACUGAACAGAGCAAAUGCAAUUUCCUUCCCCAAGUCAAUCUCGGAAGCACACAGAUUGAUGCUGAGUAUGAGGACAAAGACUAAAAGAACAGGUGCAGGGAAAAAAAUCCUCCUUUACCACCCAGAACUUGUUGAUGCAGAUAAGGAGAGUGCAGUACUCAAGAUGGUGGUGGUGGUAUUGAUAAAGAGUCUGUUUCUAAGAGUAAAAUGCUCAUUUAAAAGCAAAAGAAGAAAUACAUGAACAAGUAGAUGGAGCACUCUGAUGGUUUGAAUAAAAAAAUGGCUCCCAUAGGCUCCUGGGGAAUGUUGCUAUUGGGAGGCCCAGCCUUGUUGGAGGAAGUGUAUCACUAAGGGGUGGGCUUUGAGGUCUUAGAAGCUCAAGCCCGGCCAAUGUGUCACUGUCUCUUCCUGCUGCCUGAUGAUCCAGAGGUAGAACUCUCAGCUGCUUUUCCAGCAUCAUUCCUGCCUUCAGGCCACCAUGUUUCCCACCAUGACAAUAAUGGACUAAACCCCCGAGUUCAGUGGACUAAACUGUAAGCCAGCCCCAAUUAAAUGUUUUCCUUUAUAAGAGUUGUCUUGGUCAUGGUGCCUCUUCACAGCAGUAAAACCAUAACUAAGACAAACCCAUCGAAGCACAGCCUUCAUGUUAGAAGCAGAACCAUUGAAUCGUCACAGUUCCUUGUCUCUUGUCUAUAGACAAAGCCAUUGAGGACUGCAGAGGUCCCAGGAGCUUGCUCCUAUGUGGGUGGCAGAGUGACCGGAGUUCUCCAUCCCAUCUUUCUGGUUACAUGGCUGUCAUUCUGCAAAGUGACAGCAGCUCCUCUCACUGAAAGGGGAAUCUGUUUUCUCUCUUACUAGCCUUGUUGUGUACAUGGACUGGGAAUAAAGAGGGGAGAUGGUGGGCUGGUUGCAAGCCUGGGCUGCAAGAGACCACACACACUUUCAUCUACUCUUUGGGAAUCUGACCACUGCCCAGGCUAGCUUUUUAGGAGGAAAUGCCUGUUAGAGCGAACUCUGAGUCCAGCUAAGGCCAGGGCACCAACAGAGUCCAAAUCAGCAGAGUUGCUGUCUCCAGCCUACAGUUGACCAUACAUACAUGAAGAAGUUCAGCCCAGCCCAGAGAAACCGCCUUGCUGGCCUACAGACUCACAAGUGAUUAGAAGUAGUGCAGUUUUAAGCCAUUAAGUUUUGGACUGGCUUUGGUUUAGUAAAAAUGAAUCGAGAGAUCAAGGUAUGUCAGUGAGUCGAUGCUAGGGUUGGGGCUCAUUUCAGAUGUACCCUCUCCCUCCAUACUGUUCUUUUAACACUGCAUUUCUCAGAAACACCAAGAUUCCGAUUUUGGGGGGAUUUUCUGUGUCUUCAGAGCAACCACAGUCACAGCUUCCCACCCAAAGUGAAUUGAAUGUAAUAAUAUUUUAAAACAUAUGCUGGGGGGGCGGUGCUAGGGAGAUGGCAGAGUGCGUAUGUUAAAAAUAAGCACGGUGUUGAAUGUUUACAGUCCCAGCACUGACACGUGUGGUGGAGACAGGUAGAUUCCUGGAGCUCAUUGGUCAGCCUGCUUAGCCUAAUCAGCAAGCCCCAGGUCCCCGAUGAGAGACACUGCAGCCUCAGAAGAUGAAGUGGAUACAGCCCGAGGAGCCGUACCUGAAGGUUACUUCUGGUGUUUCUAUACAUGCAUACAUGGCGCAUACAUCCAGAUAGAUGAAUAGGCAGGCUCUGAGGUCUUAUAAAUAGGCUCACGUUCCUCCCAGUGUGGAACUCAGUCCCCUUCUGCUGCCUGCAGACGAAAAUGUAGAACCCUAGGCUCCUCCAGAACCAAAUGUGUCUACACUCUGCCAUGCUUCCCACCAUGAUGAGAACGGAGUAUACCUCUGAAACUGUAAGCCAUCUCCAAGGAAAUGUUUUCCUUGGUGACUCUUCACAACAAUUUAACCCUAAGACAUGUACAUAUACACAUGUGCACAUAGAUAUUCAUACAGAGACACAUAUAUUAUGCUGGCUUCUCAUCCCCAUUAGAGUGCCCUCUCCACUUCCAAGUCUUGUCCAGUAACAGUACAAUCUAAGCAUAGCACGAGUCCAUCUGGUAUGUGCCUUCGUCCCUUGGCUUCUUGGGACUUCUGUUUACCACCCUUACCCUAGCCAAUCACUUUUUCUCUGAUGCAAGACUCUGCCUGCUCAUAGGUCUCCAUAAGACCCUGGCGAAUAAAUCCUUUUCGGGAAUUCUCACAGCCUAUUCUUAUGGGAGGGUUGUUGGUCAGGCACUAUGCCCACAUGUCUUCUGACAACAGCUCCCUGCUUCCAUUUACGUCUCCUUUAAGAAAGAGGGAACUCGGCCAGCCUGAAAUGGCUAAAUCCCUCAACAGCUAAAGGAAGCACUUCUCCUUGGUCUGUGUCUAGGAGGUAACCCCCUUAGCCCUUGGACGACCUUGUCUGAUAAACAUCUUAGUCAGCUGAGGGGGAGGGAAGGCUGUGUCUAGUAGUUCAUGUUCUCUGGUUUAUGAGGGGACCCUUGGGCCAUACUAUAUCAGGUUUGCCCCUGAUCCAGAGGCUAGAGACUGGAUAGCCGAUCCUGAGUAGAGCCAUAGGUGCUGAGGCUUGGCUUAGGUGUCCUGGCCACGUUAGGUUUUCAGGGCCACUCGUCAUCGACACUGGGGAAUGAAGUGCAGUUGCCUAUGCCUGGUGCAUCUCUGUCCCAUGCUCACUUUAACAAUGCAUCCUUCAUUGUCAUAAGCUGUCACUCUGAUGGCAGUGGCUUUUCUGAACCCCGAGAGUUCUCAUAGCUAACCAUCAAGCUUGAUGGAGCCUCUCUCUCCCUCCCAUGUCUUCUCGCUUUCUCCAAUGUACUGAAUAAAACUGUUCUUCUACUUGUCUCUGGCCAAAUGGUUCUGGCCAUACUGGGGUCAUUUGCCCACUCACACUCUCGUUCACGUGGAUCAUUGGCAAAUUUCUUUCAUGCGAAUUCAGUGCUGUUUGAGACACAACACAGUGCUCGUGAUGAUGAUUUGCUCCAGCAGAGUUUGCAUUUUUGCAGAACUCUGCUAUGGGAACAUGCUUGUGUGAGGGCCACAUACCUAUGUUCCGCUUUAUGCAAAUAAGGGGAAGGGUUUUUUUUUUUUAACUUGAGUAUUUAUUUACAUUUCGAGUGUUAUUUCCUUUCCGGGUUUACCGGCCAACAUCCCCCUAAUCCCUCCGCCUCCUCUUCUUUAUGGGCAUUCCCCUCCCCAUCCUCUCCCCAUUGCCGCCCUCCCCCCAACAAUCACGUUCACUGGGGGUUCAGUCUUAGCAGGACCCAGGGAAGGGGAGGGUUUCUUAACCAAUGCUCAUACUACUGGCAGGCACUGUAUAACUUUCUCCAGCAGUUCUCAUUUCUUGGCUACUCAGAUCACUUGCCCUUGUCCUAUAAACCAAGCACUGACCAUAAUUCCUGCAGAGAGUCAUUAGGUUCUUAUGCUAUCAUUAUCUUAAGAAAAAUUUCUACACAUGAAUUUCUCCAUUAAAGAGAAAUUUAGUUCCCAGAUAUUGAGGAAGCUGAGGCGGUGGUAGAGACAUGAAGGGACCUAGCCAGAGGAGGCAGGUCACUGGAGGGCAGGGCCCCUGGAUUCUAGUCCUGUUCAGGCUCCAGGAUGGCUGCCUCCUUACUGCUGACUGAAUGAUAGCAGCCUUCUCAUCUAUGAGCUACUGUAGCCAUUGAGCCUUUGCUUCCAUGAUGAACUGUUUCCCCUCAAACUGUGAGCCCAAAUGACUCCCCCUCCCUUCAGGAGUUUCAGGUACGUUGUCACGGUGAUAGGGAAAAAAACUAAUACAGAAGGCAAAGGGUGACCACUCUGGAAAUACUAACAGCAUCCUGAAACUUGGAGAGAAGCAAGUGAGGAGAGGAACCAGAGGGUGGGGAGACCCUUGCUCAUAUCUAGGCCCAAGAGAGAGCCAAAAGGCACCUAGGUCUGGCAUGGUUUAGUUGAGAGGGUGCUUACUAUUACCAUUCUCUUCCACAAAAGAGAGCAGACAGAAGAGAACCCACGGGAAAUUAACCAGAUAUGGCAUGUCUGUCAAGCAGAGACACCAGACUAGCUACUUCCUCCCCAUACCUAAUAAGCAGAUGGAGGGAGGAGUCACCCAAUACAUAAGGGAAGGGAACACCCAGGGCCAAGCCUACCAGGAGUAUGGGUUAACUCAACUGCAGAAGCAGAGCCCAGGGCCUCUCCAACUCUUCCUCCUUGCUGCUUUUCCACCUGUCUCUGAGGUAAAGAUAAAUGAAAUACAGCACACCAGCAAGCACAGACAUUUUUCUUCUACUUCUGUCAAUAAAUAUGUUCAGAAAUUGAUGAUUCUGGAAACCAAUUUAAAUUUUCUAAGGAUAAAAGCCAUCUUAAGGUGAACAUUAAAAUUACAUACAUAAAUAAACAGUACAGAAGAGCAAACAGUGCCUGUGUCAGAUUAUAGGACUUGUUAAAGAGUACAUGAUGACCAAAUUGUGACAAAUCAUAUUUGAAAUCUUCAUCAGUGAACUUGGAAUUUAAAACCCCAAAAGAAUCAAUUUAAAGAGAAAAAAAUUAGAUUGGCUCAAAAAAGUAAAAACCUGAGCUGUGGGGCUAGAAGGGUAGGGCAGGAGUAAAGAACUUUCUAAGUUUCGCAGAGGACCUGAGCUCAGUUUCCAGUAAGAACCAGGGGCCUCGCAUCUGCCUGUAGCUCCAGCUUUAAGAGAUCUGUUUAUCUCCUACAUCACUUGCACAUAUGUGCGUGCAUACUCACGCGUGCGUGUGUGCGUGUGCACACACACACACAAAUAAAAAUUUUAAAUAAACAACUAUCAUCAAUAACAACAAAAUCCAGUGGUCAGGACUAGAGGGAUGGCUCAGUGAUUAAGAGUGUUUUCUGUUUUUGCAGAGGACCUGAGUUUGAUGCUCAGCACCCCCAUGAUAACUGACAAUCAUCUAUAACUCCAGUUCCAGGCAACCUGACAUCCUUUGGCCUCCAUGGGUACCAGGCACACGCACACGCAUGGCGCACAGACUACAUGUGGCCAAAACACCCAUACACACACACACACACACACACACACACACACACACACACACACACACACACCCCUGAAAUAAACAAAUAAAAAUGCAAUAAUUAUUAAAGAAAAAUGUCAGCUCUUGCUUGGAAACAAAAGAACAUGCCAAAGUUUUCUGGUGAGACUGGGAUUAAAUAUCUGAAGAAGGAUUUAGCAAAACAAAGGUAACUGGGAGCUGCUAGGUUCCUGAUCUCUGUCAGACAAACUUGGAUCCAAGACUAAUGAAGGCGACCAAGGCAAAGAGGACCAAACUCCAGUGAAGCUGAAAGCCAGAAGACACCGUCCAACAGAUGCUAAAGACCAACUGUCAGCCUGGAGUCAGUAAGGAACUUAGAAAGAAAGGUUUGGAGGACCCAAAGUCUGCCUGCCUGUCUGUCUGCCUGCCUGCCUGCCUGCCUGCCUGUCUGUCUGUCUGUCCGUCUUAAUUACUUUGUGGCAGGGUCUUGUACAGUCCAGGCUAUCUUCAAAUGGGUUAUAUAGUCAAAGGUGAUCUUGAAUAGCCAAGGAUGACUUUUACUUUUUUUCCAAGACAGGGUUGGCUGGCCUUGAACUCACAGAGAUCCUCCUGCCUCUGCUUCCCACAUGUUGGGAUCACCACCAUCACCACAAACACUGUUGCCUGGCUGAUCUUGAUCCCCCUCCAACCCCUCGCCUCCACCUGUCAAGCACUGAGAUGACAGGUGUGUACACCACAGUCAGCUUAUGUGGUACUGAGGCUGGGUCCAGGGCUUCCAGCUGCACACGGGUUGGCCAAGUCCUCAAUGGACUGAGAUGCGUUCCCAUUGUGGGUUGUAUCCAUUCUGAAUGGAGAUAUUUUUAAAGGUCAACUUUGCAGUUUUAUGCCAAGUGCUAUAACAUCAAAUGGUGAACUCAUCUUUUAUAGUCCUGAAGAAUUCUUUAUAGCAAUGAAGGAUAUUAACAGUCUGCAAAGAAACUCUUAACAAGAUCCCCGAAGCAGAAAUGGUAAUUCACUUUCUAGGUGUGAUUCAAGAAAGGAAGAAGUAAAGAAAUUAAAGAGAAGAGGACCUGGAGACUCAGGGGUCAGGGGUCAAGAACACUUACUGUUCUUAUGGAAGGCCCAUGUUUGAGUCCACUUAAAUACAUAUGUCCACAUUAGUAGAAAUAAAAACAAAUCUGAAAAAAGCUAAAUCUUGAGUUGAAUAAACAGAAAAAAGAGGCAGCUCAAAAACAUAUCACUAGGAAUACAAAAUAGGAAGACAAUGUUUUAUGAAACUUUCCACAAUUAAUUAAUAUAUAUUUCUAGAAAAAAACACAAAUAUUACCAGAAUAAACACAUUUUGAUUUUUAUUUGAUUUUUUUUUUUAAAAAAUGUGUGCUUGAGUGUUUUGCCUGCACACAUGCAUGCAUUUCCCUUAAAGUCCAGAAAGGGGCAUUAAGUUCCUUGGAACUGGAGUUGCAGACGGUUGUGAGCCACCAUGUGAGUACAGGGUCCUCUGCAAGUGCUAUUAACCACUGGGCCAUUUUCUAUUUGAAGAAUAAGUGAGUAGCAUUUAUUGAGAAGCAAGGAAAUAACUUGCUGUAGGCAUGAGGGGGCUCAAAAAGGAGUUGUCCUUAAAUUUUACUUCCACACUACAACUAUUACUACUGAUAUAUUUUUAUAAAUAUUACAUUGAUGAUGAUGAUGAUGAUGAUGAUAAGGCCUUGCAUGUGCUAGAUAAGUGCUCUGCCUAAAAUCCACCAGCCCUACAUGAUUUCUUGAUUUUUUUGAGUUCUUCCAAAAAGCCUGAAACAAGUCAUUGAAUAUUCUUAUCAACUACAUCAGAGCACAGAGAAGCAAAAGACAUUCAUUUUCUGAGAAAGCCAUGUAAAAACUAAAAUAAAUAAUAAAUAAACAAAACUCCACAACACUAUAAAAAAUCCAUGCUCUGUGAUCACUAGAAAUGACACGGAAUAAACAUGGCACUAUCAAGGGGAUCUAGCAUGGUCUAGGAAUGUAGGUAAUACUCCAAAUUAGGAAGUAUGUUAAUAAACAUCUUCAACUGUAUAUUUUGUCUUUUUAUGUAUGUAGUAUGCAUGUGUGCUCAAAUGUAUAUGGGUGGGUGCAUGGGCAUAUGUGUGCAUAUGUGUGCCGGCCCAAGGUUGACCCUUGGUAUCUUUCUCAGUCGACAUCCAUGUUGUAUGUUGAAGCAGAGUCUCUCACUGAACCCAGAACUCACCCUUCAGUUACUCUGGCUAGUUGGCUUGCCUCAGAGUUCCCCUUUGAAGGGAUUGCAGGUAGAUUCUGAGGAUCCAAACUCUUGUCCCAUGCUUACUUAGCGAGUACUACGCUGACUGAGCCAUCUCCAUUGAGCUCCCUAUUUUGGCUUGAAAGAAAGAAAAUCUUAAAAAUUUAAUUAGUCGAGAAAUGACAAAACAUUCCCUCACUAUCCACCUAUGUUUCUGCCUAAACCCCUUUUUUACUUCAACACGUUAUCAUUUUAUUGAUUCUAUUUCCCUUGAUAAAGUCUUUCUGGAGUUUUACUCUAUUGACUUUAUCAAAGGCUCAGAUUAAAUGGUUGAAUUUAAUGUUUUUUGCCCUCUGAAUCACUUAAUUUGGUGAUGUCCGUUUUUAUCAUGAGCUUUUCUGUUUCCCUGACACUUACAGCCCCUUGGCUCUUUCUCAUACAUUUUUCCUUUUCUCUUGUGCUUUUGUGUGGGGUACCCAUGCAUGCUUACCUGCGGGCUAGAAUAUGUGCGGGUGUGAUGGGUUACGUUACAUACACGUGGAGGCCAUGAGUUGGUACUGAGGUCCUUUUCUUCAAACUCCCCACCUUUAUUUGAGAUAGAAUCUCUCACUUGACCCCAGAGCUUUCUGGCCGAGAAGUCCGUCUCCUGAUGAUAGGCAGAAAGUCAUGCUCACUCUGCAUUUAGGUGUUUGUGUUAGUACUGGGGACUCUAAUUUCAAUGCUCGUGCGUGUGUGGUAAGAACUCUACCCACAGAAACGCCCUUACCCCACUGUCAGAACGAUCUUCAUUCUCUCAUGAUAAAAAUAUGUAAUUAUGAUUUUACCCCUGGUUACAGAGCUCUCUACAUCUUUUCAGUUUUGAAAGGUCCAUGCUUUAUUUUUCAUUUUCUAUAGAAACUGCAGAUCUUGUUUCCUCAAGGAAUGGACCAUUCUCCUCUCUACCCCGCCCCCAUAAUUCUCAGUGUCCUAAGGAUUUUCCUGUGGACUCAGAUUGACCUUGAACCUAAGAUCCUCAUGCUUCGUCCUCUGAGAGCUGCAAUUAGAGGCUGGCAUCACUGUGCCUGGCCUUGGAUGAUUUUUCCCCCCAAGACUUGUAAGUAUUUUGAUUUAUUGUUUUAAAGAUUUGUUUAUUUUAUCUAUAUGGGUACACUGUAGCUGUCAGAUACACCAGAAGAGGACAUCGGGUCCCAGAUGGUUGUGGGCCACCAUGUGGUUGUUGGGAUUUGAACUCAGGACCUUUGGAAGAGCAAUCAGUGCUCUUAACCACUGAGCCAUCUCUCCAGUCUGUAUUUUGGUUUCUUUAAAAUAAAUAAAUAAAUAAAAACUUACAGGUCAGUGAGAUGGCUUGGAGGUUAAGGUGCCCGCACACAGGCCUGAAGACCUAAAUUUCAUCUCUAAUCCCACAAGGUGGCAGGAGAGAACUGACUCCAGAGAGCUGUCUUUUGACCUCCACAGUGCCCCUCUGUGGCACAUGGUACUAUGCAUACACACACACAUGAGCACACGCAAAUGCGCACGUGUACACAGAUCAAAACUUAACUUGAUAUAAUUUGUUGUUUGCCGCUAUCAAGCACCUCACUCUAUAACUUCUUCUGCCUCGGGGGCCACUUGGCUUUUUUGUCCUCACACAUUUCCAUGUUUAUGUGUAUUCUGUAUGUUUGAGGAGCAUGUGCACUCUUGAUGUGCACUCUUUGUGUGUUCUUAUCACUUGGGACUUGUUAAUUCCAUUAUUUAAAUCUUGACAUUGUAUUUUGUCCUCUCUAGCUAAGAAUAGCUGAUCUCUUGCUUGGUUUUAGAUUUUUCAACAUUGUUAACAUUUCUGUGGGACAUUACUUUGUUCUUUUCCUCAGCUUUACUUGAAGUUUGAAAGGCAAUGAACUCGGUGGCCUCUAACAGAGCACUCUCAGGUACAGGCUGUGGGACCCAGGGAUUUUUAGAAUAUAAAACAUGGGCUUUUAUCUAAAGAGGUUUAGGUUGUGAAACACUUGCUUUUAGUUCUUAUUGUUGUAUAUAUGGUAUAUGUGUCUAUAGGUGUGUGUGCCACGGCAUGUAGGUGGAGUUCAGAAGACUGCAGGAGUUGGCUCUCUCCUACCAUGUGAAUUCUAGGGUUGAAACUGAUCGUCUGCCUUUGAAAUAAGUGACUUCAUCUGCUGCGCUCCCUCACUUGUCCUAACUAGAGUUCUAAAACUUUCUAACUACUCUGAAAACACGUUAGAUGCUACUUAACAGAAAAUUAAACUAUGCCUGCACCUUUACACAUUCCUGUCUUUUCUUUCUUUUUGUCUAAGUCUAAGAAUGGCAAGAACUCUUAGCUUCAGACAGAGGAUGGUUUCAGUGGUGCCAAAGUCAAAAAUAAUAAACGCUUGGUGCACUGGUCAAGUUUGUCAGGGGACUCACUUGUUCACUUGCUUUAAGGUGCAAGGGAUCAAACCGCCUGUGAUGUCAGACAAGCAUUUUGCUGUGGAGGGGCAUGCCAGUCCUGCCAGAAGGUUGUCAUGGAAAAUGGUGCUUGCCUCUUUGAUGUCUCAAGCUGCAGUUGGCAUUGGAGUGGCUCCCUCUGGCUAAUCUAGUAUAAUGGACUCAGUCAGUGUAUGACUGUGUACAUGCUCCUGGAUCCAAGAACUGAUUCAAAGCAAGGAAAAGUGUAAGACACAUGUCUUCAAGUUUCUGUGUAUGCAUGCCCAUGUUUAUGGUUCCCCAUGUAGGUGUUCAUGUACCUGCAUGUGGAGACCAGUAGAGGAAACUUGGUCUCUCUCUCUCUCUCUCUCUCUCUCUCUCUCUCUCUCUUUCUUUCUAUUUUAUUUAGGUUUUUAUAUGAUGUAUGAGUGUCUGCAUGCGGGCCAAUGUAGUAUAUGUCUGAUACCCAUGGAAGACAUGGCCAGAGGGUUUCUGAUUACCUGAUACUGGAGUUACAGAUGGCUGCGAGUCACCAUGUGGAUGCAGGGAACAGAAUACAGGUCCUCUGCAAGAGCCACCAGUGCUCUUAACAGAUGAGCCAUCGCUCUAGCUCAUGUGCAGGUUUUCUGAAUGUGAGAUCUGGGGAUCAAACUCAGGUCGUGGAACUGUUUCAUUGACUAAGCCAUCUCCCUACCCUUCAUGCUCUACCUUUAAUUACAAUCAAAUGAAGCAAAUUUAAAAAAGCACCUUUUGAAUCAUCUUUGCCAAACAUCCCAUUUGAUUGGUCUGGUCUCUGUUGUGUAUCAGGUGUCUUAUCACGUUCCAGAGUGAGGAGAACAUUUUACAGUCUUUUAAAAGCUCAGUGUCCGGUAUGUAAAGGGAAGCAACUCACAGGACUGCUCCUGCAGCACACACGGGUGUUGGUUAUGGUAAAGAAGUUUAAAAACAGAAUUGCACUCUCCUGGGACAACAUCUAUUCUCAAGAUGUUUUUAUUUAUUUAUUCCCGUAUUCCUGUGUGUCUGCGUGUAGGCUUAUAUACCAUGGUGCAUGUGUGGAGGUCAGAGAACAGCUCAUGGGAAUUAGUUCUCUCCUUCCCUCUUGUGGGUUCCAGGGACUGAACUCAGGUUGUCAGGCUUGGCAGCAAGCACCUUUACUCACGGUGCCAUUUUGUCAGCCCAAUAUCUAUUUCUUCUUUCUCCCCUCAAUCCCUCAAUGCUAUGCUUUUUCACUAGUAGACAUCUGUGAAUGUUACUGUACUGGCCGUGUGUGUGUGUGUGUGUGUGUGUGUGUGUGUGUGUGUGUGUGUGUGUGUGUGUUCUCCACAGUGAAACAAUACUCUGUGCAGAAUGCUCUGUAUACGCACCCUCUUCCCCCAGAGCUAAGGUUACUGCUCUGUUUCUCUUACUUUGGAUUCUGGUUAUUUUAAGCAUCCUUUGUCUCUUCUCUGUGCACCUCUGGUUCGCUGUGCACUAGGCAGGUUGGGAAACACAACACAGAUAGCUUUGAGAGGAUCUAGUCUGCCAGGCUAUGUCUGUGCUGUUCCACAGGGUGGCCUCGCAUUUCGUCCUUCCCGAGGUCAACAUUGCCUCUGCCUGUCAUUUGCAGCAUGAACAUACUGUCCUUGUGCUGACAAUGUUCUAUUUUUAAUAACCUGUCUGUUUGUGCCUUAUUCUCAGACACACACCUUGGGCUUAGUGCCCACAAGGCUAGCUGAAGAAGAUGUGUUUUCAACUCAAAAACACUUUCGAGAAGCUCUGAGUUCAGGGUGCUUUUCAAUGGGGUCCAUGAUGAUUUUCUGGCCUCUUCUAAUUUAAUUAUUGUUCUCGACUAAUUUAUUUAUUCAGUGUCAGGAGGGGUUAGGGUAAUUCUGGGUUUGAACUAAAGAAUGAAACUCAUCCGUGCGUGUCCUAUAGGCUUUAUUAGCCGUUUUCCCUCCUCUAUACCCACCCUAGAGAAAGGCUAUGCUGUUUGGGUAUUAUGACUCAAUUACCACUUAUCCACACAUACACUUAAGUAAUGAGACAAGAGAAGGCUGAAGGAGGAAAAGGAAUAGAGGGCCUGAGCCUGUAAGAAGCCUGUAGGAACAACCACUGUGCAGGCUGGGAAAUAUUGAGCAGGAGGACUGGAUGCCAAUGGUCCUGUGGCUGGGAGCUUCUGAAACAACAGUAGCUUGGGAUAUGUUCCCUGGCCUGUAGCCAGGCAAGCACUGGAAGCAAAAAGUUUCAUAAAUUAGUUUUGAUCACUGCCUGGCAUUUCCUAUUUUCAGUUUAUAGAGAUGCCACCAUGUAAUUUGUAUAUCUUCUCCUUGAAGAAUUACUUUUGACAUUUGCAUUAAAUAUUGUGCCAUGUGAUAACUUAUUUAGCCACCGUAUAAUGCGUGCUGCAAUUAAUUCUAUUUAAUUGGGUUCUUUGUUCAACUCUCUGCUUCUGUCAUGACUCCCCCUUCCUUAAGUUCUUUCUUCUUCUAAGUUAAUUUUAAUUAUGUGAGUAAUACUUGAAGGCUUAACUUUAUAUCAAACCCAGGUUGAUCUGGGUUGUCUAUCUCCCUCCACAGAAGUACAGAGGUAGCCACUCCUUUGAGUGCAUCUGUGCACCUGGGCGUUUAUGCAUGUGUGUGUGCACGUGUGCAUGCAUGCAUGCGUGUGUGUGUGUGUGUGUGUGUGUGUGUGUGCGUGUGUGCAUGUAUGCGUCAAGUGUUUGGGUCACUGUACACACCAUGCAUCAGUCAAGCACAGAGGCCAGAGGUUGACUCCCCUAGUUUGUUUUUCAUUGCUGGGAUAAAGAUCAUGACCAAAAGCAACUUGAAAAGGAAAGGGUUUAUUCAGCUUGUAUAUCCCCCUGGCAGUACCUCAUUUGAGGGAAACCAAACUCAGGCAGUAACCUAGAGGCAGAACCUCAAGCAGAGACUGUGAAAGAACCCUUCACACUGGCUUGGUUCUCAUAGCUUGCUCAGCCUGCUCCCUUAUAUCACUCAGGGCUACCCCAGGGGCCUUCUCGCAUCGAUCAUUAAUCAAGAAGAUGCUCUACUGAGUUACCUAUGGGCCAGUCUGGUAGAAAUGUUCUCCCUCUUCUCAGAUAACUCUAGCUGUGUCAAGUAGUCAAAAACUAGCUGACUAACUAAUUAACUAAGGAGAAUAUUGACGUCAGAUGUCUUCCUUGCUCAACUGUACACCACUUAAUUUUUUUAGACAGGAUCCUUCACUGAACCCAGAGCUCAUCAAUUCUGUGUGGCAGCCUGGCCAGCAAAUCCUGCCUGCUAACACUACAGUCAUUCACAGCCACACCCUGCUUUUUAAGUGGGUGCUGAAGACUGAACUUCUGAUCUCACAUGCAUAGCAUCCAGGUGCCCUGGCUGCUUCCUGUUUAUCUAUGUGUUUACUACCUAUUAAUGAUUUGUCCCUCGCUUUUUUUUUUUAGAUUAAUUUGCUUAUUUCAUGUAUGUGAAUACACUGUUGCUGACUUCAGACACACCAGAAGAGGGCAUUGGAUCUCAUUACAGAUGGUUGUGAGCCACCAUGUGGUUGCUGGGAAUUGAACUCAGGACCUCUGGAAGAACAGUCAGUGCUCUUAACCGCCGAGCCAUUUCUCCAGCCCUAUCAUUUGCUUUUUAGAAGGCUUAUUGUUAUUUUAUAUGUGUUUUGUUUACAAUGUAUGUCUGUGCACAUUCUGUAUGCAGUGCCCAAGAAGGCCAGAAGAGGGGGUCAGUUCCCCUUGAACCAGAGUUAUGGCUGUAAACCAUCUUGUGAGUGCUGGGAAUGGAACCCAGGUAUUCUGGAAGAGUAGCUGGUGCUCUAAACCACCAAGCCCCCUGGCGUUCAUCUUAAAAGUAUAAUAUUAAAAAAGUUGUUACAUGGUACGACUUGAUUUCCCUCCACCCUCCUAGUAAUAGAUCUUCGAUCUAGCUGUGUGUCUAUUUUUAAAUCUGGCUUAAAGUUCCUCAGAAUAGAUAACACAGCAGACUUUAUUGUUGUUCGAUUGCUCGGACAUGGUCAGGUGAGGUGAGAGCUAUAUGAAUUGCUCUGGUCAGUGGCUGCUGUCAAGGACAUUGCAGAAUAUCCUUCCCACCAACCUCUCUGAGCACCUACUCAGACAGCAGCCCUUUAGGGAAGGACACUGAGCAGAGGAUCUGUCUCUGCACUGUUGUCUCAGGGGACCAGAGCUGGCCAGAGGGCAGCUCCACAUUGCCCCUCAGCACUUCAAAUGUGGCUGCUGUGAGUAUGAAACUGUAAUUUUAGCUUCCUUUCAUUUUUUUUUAAAUCUCAAGUGCUGGAAAUGAGGAGAAGGGACCCUUAGAUUUUGCUUGUGGGGAUGAAAAUCAGUCCAGC